UUGCUCCACCGGAAAAAGAAGAGUGGCGAACGGGUGAGUAACACGUGGGUAACCUGCCCAUCAGAAGGGGAUAACACUUGGAAACAGGUGCUAAUACCGUAUAACAAUCGAAACCGCAUGGUUUUGAUUUGAAAGGCGCUUUCGGGUGUCGCUGAUGGAUGGACCCGCGGUGCAUUAGCUAGUUGGUGAGGUAACGGCUCACCAAGGCCACGAUGCAUAGCCGACCUGAGAGGGUGAUCGGCCACAUUGGGACUGAGACACGGCCCAAACUCCUACGGGAGGCAGCAGUAGGGAAUCUUCGGCAAUGGACGAAAGUCUGACCGAGCAACGCCGCGUGAGUGAAGAAGGUUUUCGGAUCGUAAAACUCUGUUGUUAGAGAAGAACAAGGAUGAGAGUAACUGUUCAUCCCUUGACGGUAUCUAACCAGAAAGCCACGGCUAACUACGUGCCAGCAGCCGCGGUAAUACGUAGGUGGCAAGCGUUGUCCGGAUUUAUUGGGCGUAAAGCGAGCGCAGGCGGUUUCUUAAGUCUGAUGUGAAAGCCCCCGGCUCAACCGGGGAGGGUCAUUGGAAACUGGGAGACUUGAGUGCAGAAGAGGAGAGUGGAAUUCCAUGUGUAGCGGUGAAAUGCGUAGAUAUAUGGAGGAACACCAGUGGCGAAGGCGGCUCUCUGGUCUGUAACUGACGCUGAGGCUCGAAAGCGUGGGGGAGCAAACAGGAUUAGAUACCCUGGUAGUCCACGCCGUAAACGAUGAGUGCUAAGUGUUGGAGGGUUUCCGCCCUUCAGUGCUGCAGCUAACGCAUUAAGCACUCCGCCUGGGGAGUACGACCGCAAGGUUGAAACUCAAAGGAAUUGACGGGGGCCCGCACAAGCGGUGGAGCAUGUGGUUUAAUUCGAAGCAACGCGAAGAACCUUACCAGGUCUUGACAUCCUUUGACCACUCUAGAGAUAGAGCUUCCCCUUCGGGGGCAAAGUGACAGGUGGUGCAUGGUUGUCGUCAGCUCGUGUCGUGAGAUGUUGGGUUAAGUCCCGCAACGAGCGCAACCCUUAUUGUUAGUUGCCAUCAUUCAGUUGGGCACUCUAGCAAGACUGCCGGUGACAAACCGGAGGAAGGUGGGGAUGACGUCAAAUCAUCAUGCCCCUUAUGACCUGGGCUACACACGUGCUACAAUGGGAAGUACAACGAGUUGCGAAGUCGCGAGGCUAAGCUAAUCUCUUAAAGCUUCUCUCAGUUCGGAUUGCAGGCUGCAACUCGCCUGCAUGAAGCCGGAAUCGCU
This 1277-nucleotide ribosomal RNA is filed under the name Enterococcus faecium. RNAcentral describes it as "bacterial SSU rRNA". It matches the Rfam family "Bacterial small subunit ribosomal RNA", at positions 72 to 1336 of the family's 1533-position model. Lineage: Bacteria; Bacillati; Bacillota; Bacilli; Lactobacillales; Enterococcaceae. The record is from RNAcentral.